Molecule: ribosomal RNA, 185 nt
Filed under: uncultured Staphylococcus sp.
Lineage: Bacteria; Bacillati; Bacillota; Bacilli; Caryophanales; Staphylococcaceae
Description: partial 16S ribosomal RNA
Rfam family: Bacterial small subunit ribosomal RNA
Source: RNAcentral
ACGGAGCUAAUACCGGAUAAUAUUUUGAACCGCAUGGUUCAAAAGUAGAAAGAACGGUCUUGCUGUCACUUAUAGAUGGAUCCGCGCUGCAUUAGCUAGUUGGUAAGGUAACGGCUUACCAAGGCAACGAUGCAUAGCCGACCUGAGAGGGUGAUCGGCCACACUGGAACUGAGACACGGUCCAG